Long non-coding RNA from Suricata suricatta (meerkat), 662 nucleotides. RefSeq lists it as uncharacterized. The record is from RefSeq and is a predicted model, not a curated record. The transcript is spliced from 3 exons. Lineage: Eukaryota; Metazoa; Chordata; Mammalia; Carnivora; Herpestidae.
UUUUCUUUUACAAAAAGAAAAGAAAAAAAGGCCAUUUUACCUUACAGGUCACCUCACAGACUACAGCUUGUCCCCUGGCCAAAGGCCACAAUUAGGUAUUUCUCACGGUGACCACUCACAGAUGAGGCAACGGCAGAAGAAAGGAGAGCCCUGGAAUGACUGCAGAAGGUUCUCACUGGUUUUCAUCCUAACCUUCCAGCACCUCUUAUACUGUCUGAAGUCCUGCGUGCUGCUCCUGGAAUCCCCUUUGAUUUUCACACCUUCGUUCUGGAAAAGCCCACAGUGAUCCCUCCUCUUGACAUCAAAGGGAGUUGAAGCCAGAGGACUGCCCGCGAAACCUGAAAUCGGCGGACAAUCAUCCGAGCCUAGGUCGGUCGGGCAGGUUCUGUGUGCCCAGUCUGGUUCACUGAGGAUGAAAUUCAGAACCCCGCAUCCGGCAGACCUUCUGUCAAAUAUUGGUUCUUUCUGUUGUUAUUCGCUCUGGGAGUUUAGACAAGUUAUUUAUUCUGCCUAAGGGGAAAAACAAAACAAAACAAAAACCCUUCACCUGCCUCACAAGUAAAAUGGCAUCUGUCCUGGUACUUACUGCAAUGGCUCAUUGAGAAGAUGAAAUGAGAUAAUACAUACAGUGCCACGUAAUAAACACUCAUUACAAAACACUA